This is a long non-coding RNA of Strigops habroptila (Kakapo), 838 nucleotides long. RefSeq lists it as uncharacterized. The record is from RefSeq and is a predicted model, not a curated record. NCBI's taxonomy places the organism in Eukaryota, Metazoa, Chordata, Aves, Psittaciformes, Psittacidae. The transcript has 2 exons.
UCAAGCGAUGAUCUUGUUUCAUAGCGGGAGGAUGGGAUUUUACUAUUGCAUGGAUCUUCAGUGCAUGGUGGCAGUGUGUGAGGUCACACAGUGGUCACCAAGUCAAGCAAUUCUAGUUUCUCCAGGCUAUAAGACAUAGGUAAUAUCUAGGGCUUAGGCACUAACACAGCCAGAACUCAUCACCAGGCUCGGGCAGCAGAGAUUACCAAAAAGAUGUCAGUGACUCAGCCCCUAAUUGCCCCGUUUUCCCUUUUGCCUGCAUCUGUCUUGACCUAAACUGCCAUUGCCUUCCUGAGCUGUGACAGAAUGAUUGUCACACUGACUGCAAAAGUUAUACUCAAAACUACAUGAGCAACCAUAGCUCUGGCAUCUCUUUACCUGUUCUAGAUCACAGUGAUGUCAGGCAUAUACUUCAGAAGUGCAGGUGGAAAGAACUGGUCGGAAGGAACGAAGGUGGUGGUGUGGCCAAGUUGUGCCUAGAGGAACCCCCACGAUUCAGAUAAGAUGCAUCUCCAGGGACGUCCCGCACCACCACUGACCCGCUUGUUCUCCUUUGUGAAAGACGCCUCUGGUCUCACAGCGCUGAGCCCACAGGAUGCCAGUGACAAAAUGACUUCUGGUUAUCCUCCACUGUGGGCUGAAUCUGUCUUUGGUGGGUUGGAUACAUCCACAGAAAGGAAUCUGGGCGAGCGUGGAGUAUUUCCUGUACACAUGCUAAAUCCUUUAGCACCAAAUGUUUUGGGGGGGGUUUGUGCCCUUCUUACAUAUCAGACAAAUCUUUUGAAAACUAAUCCCAUAUGUAUUUAGUUUUAAUACAAUGUUUGGCUUUUAAUAGUAA